UUUGUACUCCCUCCGUCCGGAAAUACUUGUCCUCAAAAUGGGUGUAUCUAGAUGUAUUUUAGUUCUAGAUACAUCCAUUUGUAUCCAUUUUUACAACAAGUAUUUUUGGACGGAGGGAGUAUACA
Triticum aestivum (bread wheat) is the source of this 125-nucleotide non-coding RNA. The record is from Rfam. Lineage: Eukaryota; Viridiplantae; Streptophyta; Magnoliopsida; Poales; Poaceae.